This 87-nucleotide small RNA is filed under the name Octodon degus (degu). RNAcentral describes it as "7SK RNA (ENSODEG00000022736.1)". It matches the Rfam family "7SK RNA", at positions 6 to 101 of the family's 331-position model. Rfam says of the family: 7SK was discovered as an abundant small nuclear RNA in the mid-70s but a possible function has only recently been suggested. Lineage: Eukaryota; Metazoa; Chordata; Mammalia; Rodentia; Octodontidae. The record is from RNAcentral.
UGAGGACAACCUGGCUCUGACAUUUGUCACCCCAUUGAUCACUUGGGUUGAUCCGGCUGGCUAGGCAGGUGUCCCCUUCUGCCCUCA